RNAcentral lists this ribosomal RNA (468 nucleotides) under uncultured bacterium. Its description in RNAcentral is "partial 16S ribosomal RNA". It matches the Rfam family "Bacterial small subunit ribosomal RNA", at positions 28 to 507 of the family's 1533-position model. The record is from RNAcentral.
GACGAACGCUGGCGGCGUGCUUAACACAUGCAAGUCGAACGGAAAGGCCCUGCUUUUGUGGGGUGCUCGAGUGGCGAACGGGUGAGUAACACGUGAGUAACCUGCCCUUGACUUUGGGAUAACUUCAGGAAACUGGGGCUAAUACCGGAUAGGAGCUCCUGCUGCAUGGUGGGGGUUGGAAAGUUUCGGCGGUUGGGGAUGGACUCGCGGCUUAUCAGCUUGUUGGUGGGGUAGUGGCUUACCAAGGCUUUGACGGGUAGCCGGCCUGAGAGGGUGACCGGCCACAUUGGGACUGAGAUACAGCCCAGACUACUACGGGAGGCAGCAGUGGGGAAGAUUGCACAAUGGGCGGAAGCCUGAUGCAGCAACGCCGCGUGCGGGAUGACGGCCUUCGGGUUGUAAACCGCUUUCGCCUGUGACGAAGCGUGAGUGACGGUAAUGGGUAAAGAAGCACCGGCUAGCUACGUG